UACGAAGGGGGCUAGCGUUGUUCGGAUUUACUGGGCGUAAAGCGCACGUAGGCGGAUCGUUAAGUCGGGGGUGAAAUCCUGGGGCUCAACCCCAGAACUGCCUUCGAUACUGGCGAUCUCGAGUCCGGAAGAGGUGAGUGGAACUCCUAGUGUAGAGGUGGAAUUCGUAGAUAUUAGGAAGAACACCAGUGGCGAAGGCGGCUCACUGGUCCGGUACUGACGCUGAGGUGCGAAAGCGUGGGGAGCGAACAGG
Molecule: ribosomal RNA, 253 nt
Filed under: uncultured bacterium
Lineage: Bacteria
Description: partial 16S ribosomal RNA
Rfam family: Bacterial small subunit ribosomal RNA
Source: RNAcentral